GUCGAGCUUCGUAGCAAGAGCUUGUGACCCAAGCGGGGACAUUAAGGUUGGGCGCGCAAGCAACAUUU
Molecule: non-coding RNA, 68 nt
Filed under: Brassica napus (rape)
Lineage: Eukaryota; Viridiplantae; Streptophyta; Magnoliopsida; Brassicales; Brassicaceae
Source: RNAcentral